This is a long non-coding RNA of Drosophila virilis, 1329 nucleotides long. RefSeq lists it as uncharacterized. Lineage: Eukaryota; Metazoa; Arthropoda; Insecta; Diptera; Drosophilidae. The record is from RefSeq and is a predicted model, not a curated record.
UAUAUGUAUGUAUGUAUAUAUGUAUGCAUGUAUACAUAUGUAUGCUCGUAUGUAUGAAUUGGGUAUGCGUAUGUUCCCGCAUACUUGCUGUCCGCUGGGCUGUAAGCCUGAAGCAACGUAUUUUUGAACAGUGCUCUACUACGCGAUUCUCAUAAAUUCAAGUAGGCCUCGCAGUUCUUCAUGCUUUGCUACGAUAUACAUUCUGACGCUCUCCUAUUGUGUGCCUGUACAUUUUUUGGCUGUGAGCUUUUUGCAGCGAGCCCAUUGAAAAUCGCGCCUAAACUGAUUUUACAAUUAGCUGUCUGGCAUUCUUGCUAACUGACUUAGUGGCUAUUCUAUUUUGAGUCUGAUUUUCGUAUCGAUUACACUGCGCAACAAGAGCUGUGACCGUGAAGCAAAAUGGCAUUCUGUAAAAGGCAAAUAAAAUGUUUGUUAAAUAAGUUAAGAGCAUGCAAAAAAAAAGAAGCAUUUCGCUAUGCAAUUUCCUUUUAGUCGUAGAAUUAGUUUUCCUGUAGCACAGUGUUAUUGAUUUAUCAUCGCAUUUCACAUUGGCUUCAAUUGCAUUGAGUAACUUUCGCUGCUUGUUGCGGUAAAUUGGCAUCUAUGACGCAGUCACACACACAGACACACACACACACACACAUCUACAUUUCACUCAUAACAUUCAGUCCAAAUAAAGACAAGACUGCGUUUAGUUGCCGGCAUCUUGAUUGGCAUUUAUUACAAUAUUAAUUUGUUAGUGCGAUUUAGUCAAUGGAAAAGUCAGCACUCCGUAAAUGGAAGCCCAUCAAGUGCUGUCCAUAUGCCAAAUGCCCAUCGAUUUUAGCUGGUUCUAUUGUACAAAAUACACAAGCGCAUAAGCACGAACAUGUUUGAAAAGAAUAUAAUUACAUACUUGGAAGCGUAUGGUAAGGAGAUUGAAAAGCUAAUGGGAUCGUUAUAUAUCCUGUCGUAACUCCACAUAAAUGAAUUUAAUUUGUACUCAGAACUUAAAUGCAUAAUCAAGAUUUGCAUUUUAAUGCGAAGAGCCCGGCCCGACCAGACCAGAGCAGAACAGAGCACGGAGAGGUGAGGUGGACUACACUGGGCUACAAAGCUACGCAAACAUUUCCAUUAAAUGCUUCAAGGGAUAUGAAUAUUGUGUGGUGCAAUGCAAAGCGUAUUCUGAGCGAGAGUCAACAGAGACGCGCGCGCAUAAAGCGGGGGAAUUACUUAUACAUAUGUACGCUGGAUAACAUUAUAUGUAAAUGGUGGGAAGGGGUCAGCCAGGGACGACGACGAAACGUUGUUGAAAAUUAAUUUCAUAAUAAAAAAGCGUAAGGAAACCCA